Molecule: long non-coding RNA, 2181 nt
Filed under: Salmo salar (Atlantic salmon)
Lineage: Eukaryota; Metazoa; Chordata; Actinopteri; Salmoniformes; Salmonidae
Description: lncRNA (ENSSSAG00000103883.1)
Source: RNAcentral
UAUAGAUAUACGAUGGCGUUGGAAAAACCCGCCUUACUUCCGAUUUUUGCCGAACUUCACCGAUUCUUAUUUUUUCCUCUCUAAGCAAAAUUAAAAAAAUCCGCGUUGUCUCGUUCGUCUCGCUCUGGAUCGGCAACAACUCUUGGAAAAGAAGCUCGUUCGCGAGGCCUACCUCGACCUUUCGGAAAUCAAAGUCAUAUUUAAAGUGUUUUUUUCGCUUAGUAUUAUUAUUUUUAAAUCAGUUAAAACUAGUUAUUUUUCUUACUUUUUUAAGAAGAUGUCGAAGUUACUGUUACUUUACAACAAAACAAUUUUUUUUACGGGACUACGCGAGAAUCCUCGGUCUCAAGUGGAAACCAUGCCGGCGUGAUCAGUGUUAUUUUAAGGACGAGAUUGGAAGGCCACGUCUAAAACGAAGUGACAGCUUGGCUUUGGCGGUAAGUGUCUUGCCAGUUAGCAAGCCAAAGUCUAUGUAAAAUCAGAUUUCCACAUAGUUGUACUAGAAUGUUUGGUUAGUGUUCAAAUGUUCAGCUUUAAAAAAAAAGUGUAUAUAUAACACAGUUACCUACACGUUAGCCUAAAUCAGGGGUCAAUAGCCCUGUUCCUGGAGUGCCGCAGAAAACAAGAGUUUGUUCCAAUUAGGCACCACACCUGACCAACAACUAAUUGGUAAUUUCGGCGAUUGCCCAAAUUCAACACUCUUGAUUUCCAAGGUCGGCACUCCAGUACCAGGGUUGCCUACCCCUGGCUAAGUAGUUAGCACGAUGUAGCUAAUGUUAGUUGCUAGCCAGCCAUCUAACGUCGUUACCCCUUUGUGGGCACUGUAAAAACCCGCCAUUGAAUAGGCUGUCUAACUAACGAUGGAAAAUGAGCAAUAAAUAUUUGAUAUUAUUUUAGCGCUGAUUUUUGUUUAAAUGUCACCGAGUACAAUAGAGGCGCAUUGGCUAGCUAACUAGUGUUUCAUUUUUAAAAGGAAAACAUCAGGCUAAUAUACCUAACUAGUUGCAAGCAAAAUGGCACCCAGAGCGACCAGGUAACGCUAGUUAACUAGCCAACCUCAGUCACUAGCUACCCUGUUGGUCAGUUGUAUAAAUACGUUAGCUAAGUCUAUAAAUUCAUAGAAAGAGGGAUGGCAUGGAGUUUGUUAGUUUUGAUAGUUACGAUAGUUGGCUACCGGACUGCUUAAGUUAUUUGUACACAUGUUGCGUAAUCUUGCGAGUUAGCUGAGUUGGCAUGUAACUUUUUAAUCUAUACAACAUGGUCAAAACACUGCUGGACAUGGCUAGUUGUCUGUCUGGCGCUCGGACUAAGCAGUUAGCUAGCAGCUCAUGACAUUCGCUGGUCGUUUUUUUUUUUCAAUAUCGUUGCUAUACAUUUAUUUCGUUGGAUACUUGAAUGUUAAUUAAUGUUUUUUUGGGACCAUUUUGUUUCCCGUCUUAAUUACUAGCUACUACCAACUAACUUAGCGUUGUACAUUCAACGUUGAAACCUCGUCUCAACAUGGCGGUGUUGAGGCUUGUGCUUCUUGUUGGCAAGAAAAAUUGAGUCCUGUUAGCUACCAGAGAAACCGAAAGUUAGCGUUCAAGCAGACCAGUUGUUGGAUAUACUUUUAAAUAGUAGAUGUGUUGUAUAACCUUGACAGCUUACAUAUUCAGGUACCAUCUAAAUUGAGUUCAGUGAUUAUACUAAUUAGGUAGCGAGCUAUUUCUCCGUUUCACGAAUUUCCUGUGUCACUAGGUACCAGAAGUGUUUUCACCAUGGAAGGACCUGGUUGUUGCCACUGACUGGCUCUGGAGUGGACCAGCCACUGUAGACAUUGUUAACAAAACUCUUGCUACAGAACAUUACCACAAGACCAAGAGGUCUUCAACUGAAAAUGUACACCUAAUAACUGACGUAACAUAUUGUAGAAUGUUGUCCCCCUUUAACAACUUUUUUGUUUGUUCUUGCAUGAGUGUGUAGCCAGGAGGACUUUUUAAAGACUAGAGCAAGUAGGUUUAACAGGGAUGUUGUUACAGAUAUGAUCACAUUGAUUGCACUGCAUCGGUUGAUUUUAAACUGCAUGUCCAUAAACCAAUCAGUUUGCAUUACCGAUUUGCAAAUACUUUUCUUAGUGGCUAGGCUCUUCUGUAUGCUGGUCCUUUUUAAAGUAUAGAAUGGUAGUUGCAAAUGUACUCCUCG